RNAcentral lists this ribosomal RNA (429 nucleotides) under Gemmatimonadota bacterium. RNAcentral describes it as "Gemmatimonadetes bacterium partial 16S ribosomal RNA". It matches the Rfam family "Bacterial small subunit ribosomal RNA", at positions 355 to 776 of the family's 1533-position model. Lineage: Bacteria; Pseudomonadati; Gemmatimonadota. The record is from RNAcentral.
UAGGGAAUCUUCGGCAAUGGACGAAAGUCUGACCGAGCAACGCCGCGUGAGUGAAGAAGGUUUUCGGAUCGUAAAACUCUGUUGUUAGAGAAGAACAAGGACGUUAGUAACUGAACGUCCCCUGACGGUAUCUAACCAGAAAGCCACGGCUAACUACGUGCCAGCAGCCGCGGUAAUACGUAGGUGGCAAGCGUUGUCCGGAUUUAUUGGGCGUAAAGCGAGCGCAGGCGGUUUCUUAAGUCUGAUGUGAAAGCCCCCGGCUCAACCGGGGAGGGUCAUUGGAAACUGGGAGACUUGAGUGCAGAAGAGGAGAGUGGAAUUCCAUGUGUGGCGGUGGAAUGCGUAGAUAUAUGGAGGAACACCAGUGGCGAAGGCGGCGCUCUGGUCUGUAACUGACGCUGAGGCUCGAAAGCGUGGGGAGCAAACAGG